This is a small nucleolar RNA of Chelonoidis abingdonii (Abingdon island giant tortoise), 96 nucleotides long. Its record names the gene SNORD21. It matches the Rfam family "Small nucleolar RNA SNORD21". From Rfam's summary of the family: U21 is a member of the C/D class of snoRNA which contain the C (UGAUGA) and D (CUGA) box motifs. U21 is encoded within an intron of the gene for ribosomal protein L5 in mammals, but within introns of the ADP ribosylation factor gene in Drosophila. U21 snoRNA has a 13 nt region of complementarity with an invariant region of eukaryotic 28S ribosomal RNA. Lineage: Eukaryota; Metazoa; Chordata; Testudines; Testudinidae. The record is from Ensembl.
GCUAUAUGAUGAUACCCCAGUGACUGAGCAGUCUGUAGUUGGUCCUCGGUCUGUGUAUGAUGUAUGUCAUUGUUUCAAGACGGGACUGAUGGCAGC